Molecule: ribosomal RNA, 269 nt
Filed under: uncultured bacterium
Lineage: Bacteria
Description: partial 16S ribosomal RNA
Rfam family: Bacterial small subunit ribosomal RNA
Source: RNAcentral
CCCGGCGACCGGCGCACGGGUGAGCAACACGUAUGCAACCUGGCCGCCACAGGGGGAUAACCCGCGGAAACGCGGCCUAAUACCCCGUGACGCCACCGGAGGGCAUCCUCCGGUGGCUAAAGGAGCGAUCCGGUGGCGGAUGGGCAUGCGGCGCAUUAGCUAGACGGCGGGGUGACGGCCCACCGUGGCGACGAUGCGUAGGGGUUCUGAGAGGAAGGCCCCCCACACUGGGACUGAGACACGGCCCAGACUCCUACGGGAGGCAGCAG